UUGUGUUGUACAAAUUUUUCGCUCACGUCCUUCUCAUAAAAUUUAUUAAUAAUUUGAUUUUUAUAAAUAAUUUCAAGAAAAAAAAAAGUUGUGUCAAGUUUUUUAAAUCACAUUUUAUAUUUUUUAAGUUGUAGUAAAAAAUUUUCUAUUGUAUUGUAACUUUGAAAGGAUUGUUUUUUAUCUUGACUAGUAUAGGAGUAAAGUAUUCAAAAGUAUAUAUAAUAAAAGUAUGGCGAAAAGUUUUAAUUUCCGUUAGAACAUCAAACGGGAAAUGAUAAGAAUGAUUCCUGUGGUUUUUGCUUUGACUCAGAAGUGCUUUUAAAAAGACAAAACCAAAAAUAAAAGAGAUACCGAAUACAAAGUCACUAGACAGUCAGAGAUUACAGUAAAUUGAAAAUGUCAUAGAGAAAAAAACCAGGACAAAAACAAUUUCAAGACAGCUGUCAUUAAGACCUUCGAGGUCAAAAUUAGAGAUAAUAAGACCUUUCGACUUGUUGAAGGCUUCGGUGAAACAAUUAAUGCUGGAAAUGUUUGCAAGAGGUGGUGGCGCAGCUUUGCCAGCAUAUCAGCGAGAGUAGAGAGUACGUUGCCCGACGAUUUUUCAUAUUUGUAUCCUUUAUCUUUCUCAGGUAAAUGGGGACUCAAGUGGAGCGAGAGUUUCAAGCAUAAAGAGCAGGAUCAGGAUAAUGAUCAUCGCUACAUAUGUAUGAAAGAUAAGCGAAAAAGCCAAAACUUGACCACUACCCCGGUCCAUUUUUUCGAGGAGAGCAACUUCAGCGCCAUUUUUUAACUACUUGAAAAUUUUAAUUGUUUCUAAUGAUAAUAUUUUUGUAUACUUUUUAAAUGAUAUAAUAUAUGUCUACAAAGUUUGAA
Long non-coding RNA from Microplitis demolitor, 873 nucleotides. RefSeq lists it as uncharacterized. The transcript is spliced from 4 exons. Lineage: Eukaryota; Metazoa; Arthropoda; Insecta; Hymenoptera; Braconidae. The record is from RefSeq and is a predicted model, not a curated record.